Molecule: transfer RNA, 74 nt
Filed under: Kwoniella pini CBS 10737
Lineage: Eukaryota; Fungi; Basidiomycota; Tremellomycetes; Tremellales; Cryptococcaceae
Also listed under: 1 other name
Description: tRNA-Asn (GTT) (tRNA-Asn-GTT-1-1, tRNA-Asn-GTT-1-2)
Rfam family: tRNA
About the family: Transfer RNA (tRNA) molecules are approximately 80 nucleotides in length.
Source: RNAcentral
UGCCCCAUGGCCAAGCUGGUUAAGGCAUCCGACUGUUAAUCGGAAGAUCGACGGUUCGAUCCCGUCUGGGGCAG